GCCCUGGCUAGCUUGGCACCGCAACAAGCUAGCCAUGAAGGGCUGCGAUUUGGGCCCUGAAAAUGACAUCAUUGUCAUCUUCAUCACUAUCCACUUAAAUAUUUCAUAUUCCCCCAGAUCAUCUUAAUCAAGGUAGAAAGAGAUUGAUGGUCCAAUCUAAUCAAGCUUGCGCCCAAAGCCAUUUUGUGUCCACAAGUUGGAGCAACUAUGCGUUGUCCGGUCAUCUUCACACUCUGCAAUACUACAUCCUUUAUGUCCCACUUUCAAGUCAACACCGCCGACUGGGUAGACCUGAUAAUUUGUUUUCUGAAACGGGCUUUGCCCAAUUAUUAGAAUAUCUUCUUCUUGCUCACUAUUUGAUCUACUGUUUAUUACAAAUGUUGUACUGAGAAUUUCCUUAAAGCUCUGGUUGCAAUUAA
Molecule: long non-coding RNA, 419 nt
Organism: Mangifera indica (mango)
Lineage: Eukaryota; Viridiplantae; Streptophyta; Magnoliopsida; Sapindales; Anacardiaceae
Exons: 2
Source: RefSeq, a predicted model, not a curated record